GACAUUAUGGAAGAUAGCGAAGUCAAGGCAUUUCGAAGGCAAAUUCCACUGAUCUUAGCCUGGGCGCUGAGUGUUCACAAAUGUCAAGGGAUGACUCUAGAUCCUCUAAGUACCGACCUAACCCGAGCUUUCGGAUCGGAGCUUCUUUCAAGGUCUUCAAACUCUGGUAAGUCUGCGAAAAUUGUUGAGUUGUGAUGGCUUUGACGACUAUUAUCUUCGUAUGAUAACUACUAUUUUUCUAUUUCAGUCAUUGUUAUUAAAUAACUUAAUUAUCUAUAACCUUUCCAUUUACUAUUUACACAAUUACAAUUGAUAAAUCCUAUCUCUUUUGAGCCUUUCACUGAACCCGAAUUGUGUUCCCUACACCUAUGAAUGUAAAAUCCUAGUUGUGACCUUUAAGUGCAUAACAUAAGUAUUUUUUAAUCAGUAAAAGCAAGAGCAUAAGCGAGCUAAAAUGGCUAAUCCUUUCUAGUCGUUGAAAGGAAGUAGCUUCGGUCGAAAAUUAAUUGGAUGGAGAUGGAAAGACUGAAGUAAACAAAAACAAAUAGUUACGGUAGAAUCAGUAAACCAUAACUAAGACAUCACCAUGAUACUUGAUCAAUAGCCAUAGACAAGAAGAACAAAGAAGAUGAUUGAACAAGAAAUAAAAAGAUGAUUGAACCCAAUAGCUAUUGGAGUAAACGCAGAUCGAACAAUAUCAAAGAAACAAUCAUCUUGGGUUUAAACCUAAAAUAGAGAAUAGGAAGAAGAAGUAUGUCAGAGGUAAAAUAGAGAACAGAGGUACUAGUAACUAUUAUUUGUGGUAACUAGAAAACAAAGGUACAUAGAAGACGGUUAACAGAGAAAACAGAAAACGCUACACAGAAGACGGUAAACAAUCUGAGGACGAAAACAAUAGGGGAAAUGAAAAAAAAUGAAGAAACUGAAGAGGAAGAAGAAACCGUGAACGUAAGAACAAACCUGGUAGGACAGAGGAAUACAAAAUAAAUUCAAAAACUGUUGAACGGCAUACCGAAUAUGAACAAGAAGAAGAUGUAAGAAACUGGAGAACGGUUUACCACCACAGAAAUAAAAGAAGAAGAAACCUAAAAGAAGAAGAAAAAUAGGGCCGAGAACAGAAGAUGAAGAAAUGAAGAAGAAGAAGAAGAAACUCAGGGAAGAGGUAGAUGAAAC
RNAcentral lists this long non-coding RNA (1173 nucleotides) under Zostera marina. RNAcentral describes it as "long non-coding RNA (ZMAR_LNC003655)". The record is from RNAcentral. Lineage: Eukaryota; Viridiplantae; Streptophyta; Magnoliopsida; Alismatales; Zosteraceae.